RNAcentral lists this ribosomal RNA (492 nucleotides) under Triticum aestivum (bread wheat). Its description in RNAcentral is "partial small subunit ribosomal RNA". The record is from RNAcentral. Lineage: Eukaryota; Viridiplantae; Streptophyta; Magnoliopsida; Poales; Poaceae.
AUGUGCUCCAGAACCAUUCCACUCCAGUUCAGGGCUCGUUCGGCUAAUCCUGUCUCUAAUGGGACUGGAGACAAUUACUGGAUGGGGUCACGGGGGAUCAAUUCUCUCCGACUGUCUCCGAUCCCCACCGAACCGAACAGGGGCGCUCUGAACGCGGCGGUUCCGAACAAGGCGGCAUGCUGCAAAUUCCUCCCCGGCGUCGCCUCCGUCGCGCCUAGUUCGUCGCCGCUGCGGCAUGUGACCCGCGGCGAGCAGAGGCCGUGGAGCUCCCCCGUGGCGAGGACGAACGACGGCGCCGCGGAGGGCGAGCCGGAGGCGCCGGGGGAGGCCGAGGGGAAGCAGGGAGACGAGGAAGUGGCGAGGAGGAAGAGCGCCGCGCAGGAGGUGUUUGAAGGCCUGUACAUCUGCGGCUACGUCCUGUUCUACAGGAUUGGUGAGUGCGUCUGGUACAAAGUGAAGGAAGGCAUCGCCAAACUCCGCAAGAAACGAUGA